GGCUAGUCUCAAACUCCCGACCUCAAGUGAUCCUCCUGCCUUGGCCUCCCAAAGUGCUGGGAUUACAGGCAUGAGCCACUGCGCCUGGUUGCCUGCCCCUCUUUUCUGUACUCCACGUGCUGUCCUGGUCCACCUCACUCCUCCAUGGGCUUCUUGAGACACCUGCUGACCUCUAGCCGGACCUGAGCUUCAGACCCUCUCUCCAGCAGGAAGGGCUGCAGACUCGGCCUGUUCCCAGACUCGGCCUUCACCUCCCUUCUCCUCCUGUGUUUAAGUGGAUGGCCCCUCUAUCCAUCCAGGUCCCAUGCCAAGAACCAGUGAUUCUAGUGGCCCACCACCUCCCUCUCCUGCCACCCUUAUACCUGUUCAGCCUCCUAAAGAGGGACAAACUCUGUCUCUGCGUGCACUGGCUUGCCUGCCCUGCCUUUGUCACUCCAAGGGAGAUCUUGAGACCCAUGCCCUGAAUUGGUGCUGGAAUGGUCUUUGGGAGUCAAACUCUGAUCAUGCCCUCCAGUGGCUCCUCUCACACUAAAAUCAAAACUCUUUAAAACAAGCUGAGUGCAGUGGCUUACACCUGUAAUCCCAGCACUUUGGGAGACUGAGGCGGGAGGAUCACCUGAGGUCAGGAGUUUGAGACCAACCUGACCAACAUGGUAAAACCCUGUCUCUACUAAAAAUACAAAAAAUUAGGCCAGGCGCAGUGGUUCAUGCCUGUAAUCCCAGCACUUUGGGAGGCCGAGGGGGGCAGAUCACUUGAGUCCUAGAGUUUGAGACCAGCCUGGGCAACAUAACAAGAUCCUGUCUCUAGAAAUUAAAAAAAAAGAAAACACAAA
Molecule: long non-coding RNA, 833 nt
Filed under: Homo sapiens (human)
Lineage: Eukaryota; Metazoa; Chordata; Mammalia; Primates; Hominidae
Description: HSALNT0389993
Source: RNAcentral